UUUAUCAUUCUGUAGGUGCAGAUUUGCCAGCACACACACACACACACACACACACACACACACACAGAGAGAGAGAGAGAGAGAGAGAGAGAGAGAUUCAAAACAUAAUUAACUGACCUAAAGGUCAGAUCUGAGUUUCACACAUACUUUUCAAUCCGGACUGGGGCUGAACACCUCCAGCUCUAUUUUAACCUGCAGAGACAUGGAGACAUACACAUAUACCAGCGUCUGCAUUGCUGUCACGUCUCUGCGUCACCGCCUUUCAUCAUCCCAGCGCUUGCAGACCUGACUCAUGGAUCAUGUAAAAAUGAGUAUGUGGAUCCUGCAGACUCCUGCUGAUGCCGGUUUGAAAGCCUACCACUGCACUUCCUUUUGAAUGGACAUUAGAAGGUGUGUGAAGAGAAGUCUGACUACGAAUUUGUUAUGAUGGGAAACGGUGGGACACUGGUGUUGGUCAUUCUCACAUCCAUCUUUAUGGCAAGAAGUCACACAAAAGGAGAAAGAUUUUGUCUCCGAAUAAAGGAGGACACACCUGAGAAGAGAUGAAGUGAUACAGAGAAGUGUGAAUGGAAAAAACGAAUUUUUGAAUGACCUGAGGAUUAAAAUUUUUUUUUAUUUAAUAGCUUAUCCUUACAAAAAAAAAAGUAUGUGUUGUGUUUAUCAUUAGAUCAAUUUUUUAAUCUGGCAUCUAAAUGAAAAAUCUUGCAUGUUCUCAUCUUUCUCAUGAUUGUAACAUGAUUUGAUAGUGUGCCUGAUGUAUUUGUGUGUUGAUGUAUUUUUGAUGCUUAAAGUGUGGUUUAAAUUACUAUAUCUAUCCAGCUUCACAUACAAAUCAUAGUCUACAAAUCAUUUUCGAAUAAAACCUAAGAAUCUUGCAAUCUUUAUUUGUGGUAAUCUGAAGUGAUUUCAUUACUUGCACAUAUGCAAUAAAGGUCAUUACUGUUGCUUGAGACAGAGAAUAGCG
Molecule: long non-coding RNA, 964 nt
Filed under: Danio rerio (zebrafish)
Lineage: Eukaryota; Metazoa; Chordata; Actinopteri; Cypriniformes; Danionidae
Description: lncRNA (ENSDARG00000117587.1)
Source: RNAcentral